This 2899-nucleotide ribosomal RNA is filed under the name Wolinella succinogenes. Its description in RNAcentral is "bacterial LSU rRNA". It matches the Rfam family "Bacterial large subunit ribosomal RNA". Lineage: Bacteria; Pseudomonadati; Campylobacterota; Epsilonproteobacteria; Campylobacterales; Helicobacteraceae. The record is from RNAcentral.
GAAGUAGAAAUAAGCUUUUAAGGGCAGAUGGUGGAUGCCUUGGGUAGUAGAGGCGAUGAAGGACGUACUAGGCUGCGAUAAGCUUCGGGGAGUUGCCAAGAGACUUUGAUCCGAAGAUUUCCGAAUGGGGCAACCCAAUACAUAGAGAUAUGUAUUACCUUUAAUGGAGCGAACCUAGUGAAGUGAAACAUCUCAGUAGCUAGAGGAAAAGAAAUCAAAUGAGAUUCCGCUAGUAGCGGCGAGCGAACGCGGAACAGGGCAAGCCAGUAGCUUGCUACUGGGGUUGAGGACUGCAACAUCCACUUGGAACAUCUAGUAGAAUCUUUUGGAAAGAAGAGCCAUAGAGGGUGAUAGCCCCGUAGAUUAAAGAUGUUUCAUAGGUAGCAGUAUCCAGAGUAGGCCAGGACACGAGAAAUCCGGGCUGAAGCAGGGGAGACCACUCUCCAACCCUAAAUACUCCUACUACACCGAUAGCGAACCAGUACCGUGAGGGAAAGGUGAAAAGAACUGAAGCGAUCAGAGUGAAAUAGAACCUGAAACCAUCUGCCUACAAUCAUUCGGAGCCCUAUGGUUUAUCCAGGGUGACGGACUGCCUUUUGCAUAAUGAUCCUGCGAGUUGUGGUAUCUGGCGAGGUUAAGCGAACGCGUAGCCGUAGCGAAAGCGAGUCUUAAUAGGGCGCUUUAGUCAGAUGCUGCAGACCCGAAGCUAAGUGAUCUAUCCAUGGCCAGGUUGAAAGUGAGGUAACACUCACCGGAGGACCGAACUCGUGCCCAUUGAAACGGGCUGGGAUGAGCUGUGGAUAGGGGUGAAAGGCCAAUCAAACUUAGUGAUAGCUGGUUCUCUUCGAAAUAUAUUUAGGUAUAGCCUCAAGUGAUAGUAAUAAGGGGUAGAGCUCUGAUUGGGCUAGGGCUGCUCACCGCGGUACCAAACCCUGUCAAACUUCGAAUACUUAUUACCGUAUCUUGGGAGUCAGGCGGUGGGUGAUAAAAUCAAUCGUCAAAAGGGGAACAACCCAGACUACCAAAUAAGGUCCCAAAGUCAUACCUGAGUGGAAAAAGAUGUGGAGUUACUCAGACAACCAGGAGGUUGGCUUAGAAGCAGCCAUCCUUUAAAGAAAGCGUAACAGCUCACUGGUCUAGUGAUUCUGCGCUGAAAAUAUAACGGGGCUAAGGUAUGCACCGAAUUUGUAGAUUGUGCUGAUGCACAGUGGUAGAAGAGCGUUCUAGUCAGCGUUGAAGGUAUACCGGCAAGGAGUGCUGGAGCGGCUAGAAGUGAGCAUGCAGGAAUGAGUAGCGAUAAAAGUGGUGAGAAUCCACUUCGCCGUAAAUCCAAGGUUUCCUACGCUAUGCUCGUCAUCGUAGGGUUAGUCGGGUCCUAAGUCGAGUCCGAAAGGGGUAGACGAUGGCAAAUCGGUUAAUAUUCCGAUACCGACCGUGGUGUGCGACGGGGGGACGCAUAGGGUUAAACGAGCCAACUGACGGAAUAGUUGGUCGAAGGGCGUAGGUUGGGGGAUAGGCAAAUCCACCCCUGUAUCCGAAACCUCACAGGCUCUUUGAAGUCUCCGGAUGGAUAGGAGAAUCGUUGAUACCGUCGUGCCAAGAAAAGCCUCUAAGUUUAGCCACGGUCGCCCGUACCGUAAACCGACACAGGUGGAUGAGAUGAGUAUUCUAAGGCGCGUGAAAGAACUCUGGUUAAGGAACUCUGCAAACUAACACCGUAAGUUCGCGAUAAGGUGUGCCCCGCAAGGGGGUCUCAGCAAAGAGUCCCUCCCGACUGUUUACCAAAAACACAGCACUUUGCCAACUCGUAAGAGGAAGUAUAAGGUGUGACGCCUGCCCGGUGCUCGAAGGUUAAGAGGAUCUGUCAGCCGCAAGGCGAAGCUUUGAAUUGAAGCCCGAGUAAACGGCGGCCGUAACUAUAACGGUCCUAAGGUAGCGAAAUUCCUUGUCGGUUAAAUACCGACCUGCAUGAAUGGCGUAACGAGAUGGGAGCUGUCUCAACCAGGGAUUCAGUGAAAUUGUAGUGGAGGUGAAAAUUCCUCCUACCCGCGGCAAGACGGAAAGACCCCGUGGACCUUUACUACAGCUUGGCACUGCCGAUGGGAGCAUUAUGCGCAGGAUAGGUGGGAGGCUUUGAAAUCUUCACUCUGGUGGAGAUGGAGCCACCGUUGAGAUACCACCCUUAAUGUUUCUGUCUGCUAACUGGCUUGAGUUAUCCUCAAGCAGGACAAUGCCUGGUGGGUAGUUUGACUGGGGCGGUCGCCUCCUAAAAAGUAACGGAGGCUUGCAAAGGUUGGCUCAGAAUGGUUGGAAAUCAUUCGUUGAGUGUAAUGGCAUAAGCCAGCCUGACUGCGAGACAAACAAGUCGAGCAGAGUCGAAAGACGGUCAUAGUGAUCCGGUGGUUCUGUGUGGAAGGGCCAUCGCUCAAAGGAUAAAAGGUACCCCGGGGAUAACAGGCUGAUCUCCCCCAAGAGCUCACAUCGACGGGGAGGUUUGGCACCUCGAUGUCGGCUCAUCGCAUCCUGGGGCUGGAGCAGGUCCCAAGGGUAUGGCUGUUCGCCAUUUAAAGCGGUACGCGAGCUGGGUUCAGAACGUCGUGAGACAGUUCGGUCCCUAUCUGCCGUGGGCGUAGGAAAGUUGAGGAGAGCUGUCCCUAGUACGAGAGGACCGGGAUGGACAUGCCACUAGUGUACCAGUUGUUCUGCCAAGAGCACCGCUGGGUAGCUACGCAUGGUCGUGAUAACCGCUGAAAGCAUCUAAGCGGGAAGCCGACUCCAAGAUGAACUUUCCCUGAAGGUCGCAGGAAGACUACCUGCUUGAUAGGUUGGGUGUGUAAGCAUGGUAACAUGUUUAGCUGACCAAUACUAAUAGACCGUUUGGCUUAUUAUUUAUCUACUU